RNAcentral lists this ribosomal RNA (469 nucleotides) under uncultured Glomus. RNAcentral's name for it is "SSU rRNA". It matches the Rfam family "Eukaryotic small subunit ribosomal RNA", at positions 569 to 1043 of the family's 1831-position model. Lineage: Eukaryota; Fungi; Glomeromycota; Glomeromycetes; Glomerales; Glomeraceae. The record is from RNAcentral.
AGCAGCCGCGGUAAUUCCAGCUCCAAUAGCGUAUAUUAAAGUUGUUGCAGUUAAAAAGCUCGUAGUUGAAUUUCGGGAUUAGUACGUUGGUCGUGCCUUAGGUACGUACUGGUGUUACUGGUUCCUACCUUCUGACGAACCAUCAUGUCAUUAAUUUGGUGUGGCGGGGAAUCAGGACUGUUACUUUGAAAAAAUUAGAGUGUUUAAAGCAGGGUCGCGCUUGAAUACAUUAGCAUGGAAUAAUGAAAUAGGACGUUGACUCUAUUUUGUUGGUUUCUAGGAUUGACGUAAUGAUUAAUAGGGAUAGUUGGGGGCAUUAGUAUUCAAUUGUCAGAGGUGAAAUUCUUGGAUUUAUUGAAGACUAACUACUGCGAAAGCAUAUGCCAAGGAUGUUUUCAUUAAUCAAGAACGAAAGUUAGGGGAUCGAAGACGAUCAGAUACCGUCGUAGUCNNAACCAUAAACUAUGCC